AUACGGAGGAUGCGAGCGUUAUCCGGAUUUAUUGGGUUUAAAGGGCGCGUAGAUGGGUUGUUAAGUCAGUUGUGAAAGUUUGCGGCUCAACCGUAAAAUUGCAAUUGAUACUGGCAGCCUUGAGUACAGUUGAGGUAGGCGGAAUUCGUGGUGUAACGGUGAAAUGCUUAGAUAUCACGAAGAACUCCGAUUGCGAAGGCAGCCUACUAAACUGCCACUGACAGUGAUGCUCGAAAGUGUGGGUAUCAAACAGGAUUAGAUACCCUGGUAGUCCACACGGUAAACGAUGAAUACUCGCUGUUUGCGAUAUACUGCAAGCGGCCAAGCGAAAGCUUUAAGUAUUCCACCUGGGGAGUACGCCGGCAACGGUGAAACUCAAAUGAAUUGACGGGG
Molecule: ribosomal RNA, 393 nt
Filed under: uncultured bacterium
Lineage: Bacteria
Description: partial 16S ribosomal RNA
Rfam family: Bacterial small subunit ribosomal RNA
Source: RNAcentral